This is a long non-coding RNA of Xenia sp. Carnegie-2017, 248 nucleotides long. RefSeq lists it as uncharacterized. The record is from RefSeq and is a predicted model, not a curated record. NCBI's taxonomy places the organism in Eukaryota, Metazoa, Cnidaria, Anthozoa, Malacalcyonacea, Xeniidae. The transcript has 4 exons.
AAAAAUUGGUGUCAAUUUCGUUGAGUAUUUGGAUUCUCCAAAACAGGUUGUCAGAAAGUACCGGGUGUGUGAUGUGAUAAAACUAUUCAACCAGAAAUACAGUGAAGCUUGUGGGAAAAUGUGCCGAGUACCUUAUUUAAAUGGAGGAUUUACUGUUACUGGUUUGCCAGAAGAAAAGAUGACGAUUUAAAAACUAUAUCACAAAAAUUUCGACAAUUUGUUGGAUUUUGUCGUGAUUUAUUAAAAAG